AUUGAACGCUGGCGGCAGGCCUAACACAUGCAAGUCGAGCGGGGUUUUCGGACCUAGCGGCGGACGGGUGAGUAAUGCGUAGGAAGCGGCCCGAUAGAGGGGGAUACCAGUUGGAAACGACUGUUAAUACCGCAUAAUGUCUACGGACCAAAGUGUGGGACCUUCGGGCCACAUGCUAUCGGAUGCGCCUACGUGGGAUU
RNAcentral lists this ribosomal RNA (200 nucleotides) under uncultured bacterium. RNAcentral describes it as "partial 16S ribosomal RNA". It matches the Rfam family "Bacterial small subunit ribosomal RNA", at positions 30 to 242 of the family's 1533-position model. The record is from RNAcentral.